GGUGCUGCGGUCUAGUUGGUUUGGACGUCUGCUUAUUAUCUUUCGGUUUUAUCGCAGAAGGUCUUGGGUUCGAGUCCCAACGGCACCACCA
RNAcentral lists this transfer RNA (91 nucleotides) under Vibrio parahaemolyticus. Its description in RNAcentral is "tRNA-Asn". It matches the Rfam family "tRNA". From Rfam's summary of the family: Transfer RNA (tRNA) molecules are approximately 80 nucleotides in length. Their secondary structure includes four short double-helical elements and three loops (D, anti-codon, and T loops). RNAcentral also lists the same sequence under 1 other name. Lineage: Bacteria; Pseudomonadati; Pseudomonadota; Gammaproteobacteria; Vibrionales; Vibrionaceae. The record is from RNAcentral.